GCCGGGGUAGCUCAAUCGGUAGAGCGUGUGGCUCUUAAUAAAGUCAACCUCAAGGUCGCGGGUUCGAGCCCCGCCUUCGGCU
This 82-nucleotide transfer RNA is filed under the name Aureobasidium subglaciale EXF-2481. It matches the Rfam family "tRNA". Rfam says of the family: Transfer RNA (tRNA) molecules are approximately 80 nucleotides in length. Their secondary structure includes four short double-helical elements and three loops (D, anti-codon, and T loops). Lineage: Eukaryota; Fungi; Ascomycota; Dothideomycetes; Dothideales; Saccotheciaceae. The record is from Rfam by way of RNAcentral.